RNAcentral lists this ribosomal RNA (435 nucleotides) under uncultured bacterium. RNAcentral's name for it is "partial 16S ribosomal RNA". It matches the Rfam family "Bacterial small subunit ribosomal RNA", at positions 29 to 507 of the family's 1533-position model. The record is from RNAcentral.
AGCGAACGCUGGCGGCAGGCUUAACACAUGCAAGUCGAGCGGGCACUUUCGGGUGUCAGCGGCGGUCGGGUGCGUACCGCUUGGGAACGUGCCCUCUGCUUCGUAAUAACUCAGGGUAACUUGAGCUAAUACCGGCUACGCCCUCUUGGGGCAUGGCUUGCUGACGGAGGAUCGGCCCGCGUCUGAUUAGCGAGUUGGUGCGGUAACGGCUCACCAAGGUGACGAUCUGUAGAUGGUCUGAGAGGAUGAUCAGAGACACUGGGACGGGGAAACGGUGCAGAAUACUACGGGAGGCGGCAGUGGGGAAUAUUGGACAGUGGGGGGAAGCCUGAUCCAGCCAUGACGCGUGAGUGAUGAAGGCCUGAGGGUUGUAAAGCAAUUUUAUACGGGACGAUAAUGACGGUACCGGAGGAAUAAGCCCCGGCUAACUUCGUG